Non-coding RNA from Triticum aestivum (bread wheat), 136 nucleotides. NCBI's taxonomy places the organism in Eukaryota, Viridiplantae, Streptophyta, Magnoliopsida, Poales, Poaceae. The record is from Rfam.
AUUCUACUCCCUCCGUUGCACAAUACAUGCCUUCUAUUUGUCAAAAUAUAUAUGUAUCUAGACAUGUUUUAGUAUAUAGGUACAUCCAUUUUUGGACAAAUGGAAGUCAAGUAUUUUGGAACGGAGGGAGUAUACA